AUCACUUCUUGGCCUUUUGGCUAAGAUCAAGUGUAAAAGAUAUUUUCAAAUUUAAAACCGUUUUUAGACUAAUGUGAGGUUUUUGCUGGCAAAUUUUUUAAACCUUCUCAGAUCACAGUGAGACACAAAAGUUUACUUUUU
RNAcentral lists this small nuclear RNA (141 nucleotides) under Fukomys damarensis (Damara mole-rat). Its description in RNAcentral is "U2 spliceosomal RNA". It matches the Rfam family "U2 spliceosomal RNA". From Rfam's summary of the family: U2 is a small nuclear RNA (snRNA) component of the spliceosome (involved in pre-mRNA splicing). Complementary binding between U2 snRNA (in an area lying towards the 5' end but 3' to hairpin I) and the branchpoint sequence (BPS) of the intron results the bulging out of an unpaired adenosine, on the BPS, which initiates a nucleophilic attack at the intronic 5' splice site, thus starting the first of two transesterification reactions that mediate splicing. Lineage: Eukaryota; Metazoa; Chordata; Mammalia; Rodentia; Bathyergidae. The record is from Rfam by way of RNAcentral.